GAUGAAGAACGCAGCGAAAUGCGAUAAGUAGUGUGAAUUGCAGAAUUCAGUGAAUCAUCGAAUCUUUGAACGCACCUUGCGCUCCUUGGUAUUCCUUGGAGCAUGCCUGUUUGAGUAUCAUGAGCAAAUCUCAAAGUCGAUCCUUUUGUUAAUUCAAUUGGUUUGCUUUGGACUUGGAGGCCUUGCAGAUUUCACCGUCUGCUCCUCUUAAAUGCAUUAGCUGGAUCUCAGUAUUAUGCUUGGUUCCACUCGGCGUGAUAAGUAUCACUCGCUGAGGACACUGUAAAAGGUGGCCAGGAAAAUACUGAUCGAACCGCUUCUAACGGUCUAUUAACUUAGACAAUUACCCUUAAGUUUGAUCUCAAAUCAGGUAGGACUACCCGCUGAACUUAAGCAUAUCAAUAAGCGGAGGA
Molecule: unclassified non-coding RNA, 413 nt
Filed under: soil metagenome
Description: partial contains 5.8S ribosomal RNA, internal transcribed spacer 2, and large subunit ribosomal RNA
Rfam family: 5.8S ribosomal RNA (bases 1-120)
Source: RNAcentral